This 472-nucleotide ribosomal RNA is filed under the name uncultured bacterium. RNAcentral's name for it is "bacterial SSU rRNA". It matches the Rfam family "Bacterial small subunit ribosomal RNA", at positions 355 to 825 of the family's 1533-position model. The record is from RNAcentral.
UGGGGAAUAUUGGACAAUGGGGGGAACCCUGAUCCAGCAAUGCCGCGUGUGGGAAGAAGGCCUUCGGGUUGUAAACCACUUUUGUCAGGGAAGAAACGGCCUGAUCUAAUACAUUGGGUUAAUGACGGUACCUGAAGAAUAAGCACCGGCUAACUACGUGCCAGCAGCCGCGGUAAUACAGAGGGUGCGAGCGUUAAUCGGAGUGACUGGGCGUAAAGGGCAUGUAGGCGGUUAUAUUAGUCUGAUGUGAAAGACCUAGGCUUAACCUGGGACAUGCAUUGGAAACGGUAUAGCUAGAGUAUGGGAGAGGGAAGUGGAAUUUCCGGUGUAGCGGUGAAAUGCGUAGAGAUCGGAAAGAACACUCGUGGCGAAGGCGGCUUCCUGGCCCAAAACUGACGCUGAGGUGCGAAAGCAUGGGGAGCAAACAGGAUUAGAUACCCCAGUAGUCCCUGAGCGGGCUGGCAAGGCGCAU